ACCAGCUGGAUGAGGGGACUGAGGCUUCAGUGUGUUAGUAGAACAGGUUAGUGAACUCAGCCCCAGGACCAGCUGGAUGAGGGGACUGAGGCUUCAGUGUGUUAGUAGAACAGGUUAGUGAACUCAGGACCAGCUGGAUGAGGGGACUGAGGCUUCAGUGUGUUAGUAGAACAGGUUUGUGAACUCAGCCCCAGGACCAGCUGGAUGAGGGGACUGAGGCUUCAGUGUGUUAGUAGAACAGGUUUGUGAACUCAGGACCAGCUGGAUGAGGGGACUGAGGCUUCAGUGUGUUAGUAGAACAGGUUAGUGAACUCAGCCCCAGGACCAGCUGGAUGAGGGGACUGAGGCUUCAGUGUGUUAGUAGAACAGGUUAGUGAACUCAGCCCCAGGACCAGCUGGAUGAGGGGACUGAGGCUUCAGUGUGUUAGUAGAACAGGUUAGUGAACUCAGGACCAGCUGGAUGAGGGGACUGAGGCUUCAGUGUGUUAGUAGAACAGGUUAGUGAACUCAGCCCCAGGACCAGCUGGAUGAGGGGACUGAGGCUUCAGUGUGUUAGUAGAACAGGUUUGUGAACUCAGCCCCAGGACCAGCUGGAUGAGGGGACUGAGGCUUCAGUGUGUUAGUAGAACAGGUUAGUGAACUCAGCCCCAGGACCAGCUGGAUGAGGGGACUGAGGCUUCAGUGUGUUAGUAGAACAGGUUUGUGAACUCAGCCCCAGGACCAGCUGGAUGAGGGGACUGAGGCUUCAGUGUGUUAGUAGAACAGGUUUGAGAACUCAGCCCCAGGACCAGCUGGAUGAGG
This is a long non-coding RNA of Oncorhynchus keta (chum salmon), 801 nucleotides long. RefSeq lists it as uncharacterized. The record is from RefSeq and is a predicted model, not a curated record. Lineage: Eukaryota; Metazoa; Chordata; Actinopteri; Salmoniformes; Salmonidae. The transcript is spliced from 3 exons.